CCUACGGGAGGCAGCAGUGGGGAAUAUUGGGCAAUGGAGGAAACUCUGACCCAGCGACGCCGCGUGCGGGAUGAAGGCCUUCGGGUUGUAAACCGCUUUCAGCAGGGAAUAAGCGCAAGUGAAGGUACCUGCAGAAGAAGCACCGGCUAACUAUGUGCCAGCAGCCGCGGUAAUACAUAGGGUGCAAGCGUUGUCCGGAAUUAUUGGGCGUAAAGAGCUCGUAGGUGGUUUGUUACGUCGGUUGUGAAAUUCAGGGGCUCAACCCCUGACUUGCAGCCGAUACGGGCAAGCUAGAGUUUGGUAGGGGAGACUGGAAUUCCUGGUGUAGCGGUGGAAUGCGCAGAUAUCAGGAGGAACACCGAUGGCGAAGGCAGGUCUCUGGGCCAAUACUGACACUGAGGAGCGAAAGCGUGGGGAGCGAACAGGAUUAGAUACCCUGGUAGUCCACGCCGUAAACGGUGGGCGCUAGUUGUGCGAACCUUCCACGGUUUGUGCGACGCAGCUAACGCAUUAAGCGCCCCGCCUGGGGAGUACGAUCGCAAGNUUAAACUCAAAGGAAUUGACGG
This 566-nucleotide ribosomal RNA is filed under the name uncultured bacterium. RNAcentral's name for it is "bacterial SSU rRNA". It matches the Rfam family "Bacterial small subunit ribosomal RNA", at positions 338 to 916 of the family's 1533-position model. The record is from RNAcentral.